GUGGGGAAUCUUGCGCAAUGGGCGAAAGCCUGACGCAGCCAUGCCGCGUGAAUGAUGAAGGUCUUAGGAUUGUAAAAUUCUUUCACCGGGGACGAUAAUGACAGUACCUGGAGAAUAAGCUCCGGCUAACUUCGUGCCAGCAGCCGCGGUAAUACGAAGGGGGCUAGCGUUGCUCGGAAUUACUGGGCGUAAAGGGCGCGUAGGCGGACAGUUAAGUUGGGGGUGAAAGCCCGGGGCUCAACCUCGGAACUGCCUUCAAUACUGGCUGUCUUGAGUAUGAGAGAGGUGUGUGGAACUCCGAGUGUAGAGGUGAAAUUCGUAGAUAUUCGGAAGAACACCAGUGGCGAAGGCGACACACUGGCUCAUUACUGACGCUGAGGCGCGAAAGCGUGGGGAGCAAACAGGAUUAGAUACCCCAGUAGUCC
Molecule: ribosomal RNA, 425 nt
Filed under: uncultured bacterium
Lineage: Bacteria
Description: partial 16S ribosomal RNA
Rfam family: Bacterial small subunit ribosomal RNA
Source: RNAcentral